Molecule: ribosomal RNA, 253 nt
Filed under: uncultured bacterium
Lineage: Bacteria
Description: partial 16S ribosomal RNA
Rfam family: Bacterial small subunit ribosomal RNA
Source: RNAcentral
GACGUAGGGUGCAAGCGUUAAUCGGAAUUACUGGGCGUAAAGCGUGCGCAGGCGGUUUCUUAAGUCAGAUGUGAAAGCCCCGGGCUUAACCUGGGAACUGCGUUGGAAACUGGGAGACUUGAGUGUGGCAGAGGGGGGUGGAAUUCCACGUGUAGCAGUGAUAUGCGUAGAUAUGUGGAGGAACACCGAUGGCGAAGGCAGCCCCCUGGGUCAACACUGACGCUCAUGCACGAAAGCGUGGGGAGCAAACAGG